This 490-nucleotide ribosomal RNA is filed under the name uncultured bacterium. RNAcentral's name for it is "partial 16S ribosomal RNA". It matches the Rfam family "Bacterial small subunit ribosomal RNA", at positions 30 to 507 of the family's 1533-position model. The record is from RNAcentral.
AUUGAACGCUGGCGGCAGGCCUAACACAUGCAAGUCGAACGGUAACAGGAAGCAGCUUGCUGCUUUGCUGACGAGUGGCGGACGGGUGAGUAAUGUCUGGGAAACUGCCUGAUGGAGGGGGAUAACUACUGGAAACGGUAGCUAGUACCGCAUAACGUCGCAAGACCAAAGAGGGGGACCUUCGGGCCUCUUGCCAUCGGAUGUGCCCAGAUGGGAUUAGCUAGUAGGUGGGGUAACGGCUCACCUAGGCGACGAUCCCUAGCUGGUCUGAGAGGAUGACCGGCCACACUGGAACUGAGACACGGUCCAGACUCCUACGGGAGGCAGCAGUGGGGAAUAUUGCACAAUGGGCGCAAGCCUGAUGCAGCUAUGCCGCGUGUAUGAAGAAGGCCUUCGGGUUGUAAAGUACUUUCAGCGGGGAGGAAGGGAGUAAAGUUAAUACCUUUGCUCAUUGACGUUACCCGCAGAAGAAGCACCGGCUAACUCCGUG